Molecule: ribosomal RNA, 465 nt
Filed under: Vreelandella stevensii
Lineage: Bacteria; Pseudomonadati; Pseudomonadota; Gammaproteobacteria; Oceanospirillales; Halomonadaceae
Description: partial 16S ribosomal RNA
Rfam family: Bacterial small subunit ribosomal RNA
Source: RNAcentral
CCUACGGGGGGCAGCAGUGGGGAAUAUUGGACAAUGGGGGGAACCCUGAUCCAGCCAUGCCGCGUGUGUGAAGAAGGCCCUCGGGUUGUAAAGCACUUUCAGUGAGGAAGAACGCCUGGUGGUUAAUACCCAUCAGGAAAGACAUCACUCACAGAAGAAGCACCGGCUAACUCCGUGCCAGCAACCGCGGUAAUACGGAGGGUGCGAGCGUUAAUCGGAAUUACUGGGCGUAAAGCGCGCGUAGGUGGCUUGAUAAGCCGGUUGUGAAAGCCCCGGGCUCAACCUGGGAACGGCAUCCGGAACUGUCAAGCUAGAGUGCAGGAGAGGAAGGUAGAAUUCCCGGUGUAGCGGUGAAAUGCGUAGAGAUCGGGAGGAAUACCAGUGGCGAAGGCGGCCUUCUGGACUGACACUGACACUGAGGUGCGAAAGCGUGGGUAGCAAACAGGAUUAGAUACCCGAGUAGUC